UUUUGAGAUCUUUUAACCAAGGAACUAGGUUUCGCUGUUGCUUCCUCAGCAACUUCCACCACAGUGACGUCCUUGUCAUAUACUACCUCUGCAUUUUUUACCAACCUCUUCGUUGUCUUCUUACUACUGCUUUUGCUCUUUUGGAGGGAAAACUCAUUAGCUUCUUUUGCUUUCAACCUAGUAAUAGGUUGUUUAGUAGAAGACUCAGGAAUGAUU
RNAcentral lists this long non-coding RNA (216 nucleotides) under Nicotiana benthamiana. RNAcentral's name for it is "long non-coding RNA (NBEN_LNC039253)". The record is from RNAcentral. Lineage: Eukaryota; Viridiplantae; Streptophyta; Magnoliopsida; Solanales; Solanaceae.